RNAcentral lists this ribosomal RNA (253 nucleotides) under uncultured bacterium. RNAcentral's name for it is "partial 16S ribosomal RNA". It matches the Rfam family "Bacterial small subunit ribosomal RNA", at positions 524 to 776 of the family's 1533-position model. The record is from RNAcentral.
UACGAAGGGGGCUAGCGUUGCUCGGAAUUACUGGGCGUAAAGGGCGCGUAGGCGGAUAGUUUAGUCAGAGGUGAAAGCCCAGGGCUCAACCUUGGAAUUGCCUUUGAUACUGGCUGUCUUGAGUAUGGGAGAGGUUAGCGGAACUCCGAGUGUAGAGGUGAAAUUCGUAGAUAUUCGGAAGAACACCAGUGGCGAAGGCGGCUAACUGGCCCAUUACUGACGCUGAGGCUCGAAAGCGUGGGGAGCAAACAGG